RNAcentral lists this long non-coding RNA (692 nucleotides) under Marmota monax (woodchuck). Lineage: Eukaryota; Metazoa; Chordata; Mammalia; Rodentia; Sciuridae. The record is from RNAcentral.
CUGCAAGUCUCCUUUACACUAAAACCUUCCUGAUAUGAGGAUCUGAAUUUUCUAAGGACUUGUAUCUAACAUAGAAUUAAGAACUCCAUACACAACCACAAAAAGGGUGGGAAAAAACCUAAGGAUAAAAAUCAGGCAAAUGUUUAAGUAGUUAAUAGCCUUAACUAGUAUAAUUGGAUCCCAAAUAUCCAAUAAUAUUAUUCUCUAGAGAAACAUUACAUUACCGAAAUCAAAAUUAGGGGAGUUGUAAAUACUUCAAAUAAAGUAGUAGUGCAUUUGUAGAUCAAAGAACACAAACACACCGUCCAUGUGAUUUUUAUCAAGAGAAUUAAAUGCUAGAAAGAAAACAUAGAAAAUGAGCACAACUGGCGGAAAAAUUAACUAAUGAAAAAACGCUUGAACAAAUGGAAAACUCUCUGGGGCAAAUUAAAGAAAAACAGUUGUGGCAGAAAACUUUCGAGAGAUUAUCAAUAUUGUUCCAGGAAAAUGAAUAAACAUAAAGCCGAACUCGAAACACUAAUGGAAUAAACAUAGAAGCUCAAUAACUAGGAAAUAGAAAUCAUCUUUUAACCAGGGAUGUGUAAUGAAUAAUCUCACUCUAAAAAUAAGAAAUAUAUUGUAGAGAUUAUGAAUUUAUUUCUCAGUUUGUUUUGACUUCAUGUAGCAUAUAAGGCAGAGUAAUUGUACAUGCA